UUUGUUUCGUAUUUCGUCUUGCUCUUUUAUUAUUUAUGCUAAUUAAAUGUUAAAUGCUAUACAAUAUUUUUUAAUCUUGUGUAGCAUACAAUUUGAUUAAUUCUCAAGUUAGAUUAAAUUGUUGUUGUAUUUUUUUUUUUUUCUUUUUUUUUGUGUUUUGUUUAUUUAUAUUUAUUUUUUUUCGUCGGGCGUUGAGUUUAAAUUUAGCUGUCUUAAAUACGAUAUAGUACAUACACAUAUAUUUAUAGACUAUUUACAAAUGGCUUAGGCCUAAACGAAUUCGUACAAGAACAGAAAACACUCAAUGCAAAUAAAAAUUGAUGUUUAGUUAUUGUAUGUAGACACAUAAUAAAAAUGGAAAUAAUUUAUAAAUAAUAUGAUAAAAACGUGACGUUUCCAAUGCAUGGCCAAUUGUUGUUGCUUAGUUCGAUAAAUUUGAGGAUUCUUAAUGGGGAUCUUGAAAUUGUUGGAUAAUUCUUGUUUAUUUGGUUUUUGAUCAUUUGCGAUUCGAAUUCGAUUGCCUUUAGAUAAAGGAAUUGGUUUUUGUUUGUGUUUAUUUUCUUUUUCUUUUCUUGUAAUGGACAUUACACACAAUCCCGCUCUUCUCUCUCUCUCUCUCUCUUUGUCUCUCUUUCUCGGUGUCUCUCUCUCUCUCUCUCUCUCAUCUAUCUUUUUGUAGCUAUAUCAGUUGCUUUCUCACACAUUUAAAAUGUUGAAUUUAAACCGAUUUGAUUGUUAUUGCUUAUAUAGAGAAUAAACAAAUGGCACGGAAGUUCUUGUUUUUAGCAGACAUAAAUGUUAACAAAGUUCUAUUGCUGAACGGCCAAUAGAAUCAACUAUAUAUAUAUAUAGAUGUAUUUAUAUAUGUAUAUGUAUAU
This is a long non-coding RNA of Drosophila arizonae, 878 nucleotides long. The record is from RefSeq and is a predicted model, not a curated record. NCBI's taxonomy places the organism in Eukaryota, Metazoa, Arthropoda, Insecta, Diptera, Drosophilidae.